AGUGAACGCUGGCGGCGGGCCUAAUACAUGCAAGUCGAAGGAAGUGGCGCACGGGUGAGUAAAAUAUAGCUAAUCUGCCCCGUGCUGGAGGACUAAAGUUAGAAAUGACUGCUAAUACCCCAUAGCAAGGGAUGAGACUAUAUCGUAUCAGCUAGUCGGUGGGGUGAAGGCCUACCGAGGGUAUGACGCGUAACUGGUCUGAGAGGAUACUCAGUAGCCUCCGAACUGAGACACGGUCCGAAAUCCUUCGGGAGGCAGCGGUAGGGAAUAUUACGCAAUGGGCGAAACCCUGGCGCAGCAACGCCGCGUGGAGGACGUCACUUUGCGGAGCGUAAACUCCUGUUUUUAGUGAAGCGGUACCUAACGAAUAAGCACCGGCUAACUCCGUGCCAGCAGCCGCGGUAAUUC
Molecule: ribosomal RNA, 408 nt
Filed under: uncultured bacterium
Lineage: Bacteria
Description: partial 16S ribosomal RNA
Rfam family: Bacterial small subunit ribosomal RNA
Source: RNAcentral